CCUACGGGAGGCUGCAGUAGGGAAUCUUCCACAAUGGGCGAAAUCCUGAUGGAGCAACGCCGCGUGGGUGAAGAAGGUCUUCGGAUUGUAAACCCCUGUCAUGUGGGAGCAAAUUAAAAAGAUAGUACCACAAGAGGAAGAGACGGCUAACUCUGUGCCAGCAGCCGCGGUAAUACAGAGGUAUCAAGCGUAGUUCGGAAUCACUGGGCGUAAGGCGUGCGUAGGCUGUUUCGUAAGUCGUGUGUGAAAGGCGCGGGCUCAACCCGCGGACGGCACAUGAUACUGCGAGACUAGAGUAAUGGAGGGGGAACCGGAAUUCUCGGUGUAGCAGUGAAAUGCGUAGAUAUCGAGAGGAACACUCGUGGCGAAGGCGGGUUCCUGGACAUUAACUGACGCUGAGGCACGAAGGCCAGGGGAGCGAAAGGGAUUAGAUACCCGGGUAGUC
This 445-nucleotide ribosomal RNA is filed under the name uncultured bacterium. Its description in RNAcentral is "partial 16S ribosomal RNA". It matches the Rfam family "Bacterial small subunit ribosomal RNA", at positions 338 to 795 of the family's 1533-position model. The record is from RNAcentral.